CGCGUGGGAAUCUACCCAGUAGUGGGGGACAACAGUUGGAAACGACUGCUAAUACCGCAUACGCCCUACGGGGGAAAGCAGGGGAUCUUCGGACCUUGUGCUAUUGGAUGAGCCCGCGUGAGAUUAGCUAGUUGGUGGGGUAAUGGCCUACCAAGGCGACGAUCUCUAGCUGGUUUGAGAGGAUGAUCAGCCACACUGGGACUGAGACACGGCCCAGACUCCUACGGGAGGCAGCAGUGGGGAAUAUUGCACAAUGGGGGAAACCCUGAUGCAGCCAUGCCGCGUGUGUGAAGAAGGCCU
This 300-nucleotide ribosomal RNA is filed under the name uncultured Alteromonadaceae bacterium. RNAcentral describes it as "bacterial SSU rRNA". It matches the Rfam family "Bacterial small subunit ribosomal RNA", at positions 114 to 417 of the family's 1533-position model. Lineage: Bacteria; Pseudomonadati; Pseudomonadota; Gammaproteobacteria; Alteromonadales; Alteromonadaceae. The record is from RNAcentral.